Molecule: long non-coding RNA, 1283 nt
Filed under: Brassica rapa (field mustard)
Lineage: Eukaryota; Viridiplantae; Streptophyta; Magnoliopsida; Brassicales; Brassicaceae
Description: long non-coding RNA (BRAP_LNC004840)
Source: RNAcentral
AGGGUUUGGAAUUAGGGUUUGAAAUUUUAUAAAAAAUAAAUACUAAAAUAAAAAAUAAAAAUUUUAAAAACAGUUUCAAAAAGUAUUUUUAAAUUAUAAAAAGAAAAUUUGAAAAAAAAAAUUUUGAAAAAAAAAGUUUCAAAAGAAAAUAUUAUAAAAAUUUCGAAUCUGAAAACAUAUAAUCUGAAUCUAUAAAAAAAAAUUCAUUAUUUUUUAUUUUUAUUUUAUUUAUUUUUGUUUUUUAUUUAAUUUUAAACCAAGGGUAUUAGGGAUAUUUUACCCUUUAAUGAAUGUCAUUUUUGUGACUUUUUCCUUCUAGUGCUAUUUUUGAGACAUAAACUUCAAAAGGUGUUAUUAUUGACAAUUGCCCCAAGUUAUACUCAUUGAUGAAAUUGUCAAGUGUAUAAAAAAGGACAGAAACUCAAUAAAUUGAAUUAUUAUUUUUGGAAAGGCAAUGCCAAUAUUAUAAUAUUGUACCAACGCAUAACAUUUAUAAAACACAUGGUAUCUUGAAGAUGUAUAUCAGUACAUAUGUGGUCAUGAAAAUACUUAACGUCAAUUUCUAUUUUUAUUUUUAUUUUUUUUAAAAGGGCUUCUUAACGUCCAUUUCUUGUUAUUGCUUUUCUCUUUUAUCUUUGGAGUUUUUGCAAAAUUGACCUACAACUUAAAGUCAAACACAAAACUAACCUCCUUUUUUUUUGAAAAUUGGUUUUGCCCUAUUCACCCCACAAGUUCAUAUAAUUUACGAAAAUGCCAUCAAUUUUUUUUUUUUUUUUUUUUCGAAAAUGACAUUUUUACUCUCUCACCCUCAUCAUCUUCAAGUAAUUACAAGAUUGUCAUUAUCAUCAAUACCACAACCACCAUGAACAACCAAUUUGAAGCUCUUAAUGCUCCCAAAAUCGAUUUACCCUUCUUCUUUUUCUAUUCUUGUGAACUAAACACAACAUAUCUCUAACUUUCUCUCCACAAUGAGCUAAAAAAACCCAAGAUUUUGAUUCUAAAAUUUUUAUGGUUCAUAAAGUCAUAGAAGCUAACGAUUAUGGGUGGGUGACUUUCGUUUGUGAUUCUGUGUGCUUGGAGAAGCCUUAUGUAUGCUAAGGAACUUAUCUCACCAAUUUAAGGUAUGAAAUCGAGUUUUUUUCCAGAUCUGUUCGUCAGACGACUUACUUGGGAAGUCGUCUCGCUGUAGACGACUUACCUUUCAGUCGUCUGGCUGUAGACGACUUACCUGGAAGUCGUCUGGUCAACGCAGAGGUUAUUUUUGCAAUUGACUUUGAAAUCUG